AGUGAACGCUGGCGGUAGGCCUAACACAUGCAAGUCGAACGGCAGCACAGUAAGAGCUUGCUCUUACGGGUGGCGAGUGGCGGACGGGUGAGGAAUACAUCGGAAUCUACUUUUUCGUGGGGGAUAACGUAGGGAAACUUACGCUAAUACCGCAUACGACCUACGGGUGAAGCAGGGGAUCUUCGGACCUUGCGCGAUUGAAUGAGCCGAUGUCGGAUUAGCUAGUUGGCGGGGUAAAGGCCCACCAAGGCGACGAUCCGUAGCUGGUCUGAGAGGAUGAUCAGCCACACUGGAACUGAGACACGGUCCAGACUCCUACGGGAGGCAGCAGUGGGGAAUAUUGGACAAUGGGCGCAAGCCUGAUCCAGCCAUACCGCGUGGGUGAAGAAGGCCUUCGGGUUGUAAGGCCCUUUUGUUGGGAAAGAAAAGCAGCAGGUUAAUACCCCGCUGUUCUGACGGUACCCAAAGAAUAAGCACCGGCUAACUUCGUG
This 491-nucleotide ribosomal RNA is filed under the name uncultured bacterium. Its description in RNAcentral is "partial 16S ribosomal RNA". It matches the Rfam family "Bacterial small subunit ribosomal RNA", at positions 29 to 507 of the family's 1533-position model. The record is from RNAcentral.